Molecule: non-coding RNA, 275 nt
Organism: Leptonychotes weddellii (Weddell seal)
Lineage: Eukaryota; Metazoa; Chordata; Mammalia; Carnivora; Phocidae
Source: RefSeq, a predicted model, not a curated record
GGAAGAAAAAAACAGAAAAAAGAAAAGAAAAGGAAGAAGAAUAAAAGGAACUGUACUACAGCUGUACUGGAUAAUCGAAAGGUUGUCCUGUACACAGCUUACUAGGUAGAAAGAAGAAGUGUUUUCUAUGAAGAAGAAACAGUAUGUACAAAGGCUGAAUGGUCAGGGUUAGGAAUUUGAAACAACCCCGCAUAUUCUGCCUCUUAUUAUCCUCCUCAUCACUAUCCUUCCCUAUGACCUGAGGAUUUUGAACAAAAUAAAAUGAAAAUAGCCUA